CCCGGCCAUGGCUGCCCUAGGGCUGAGGGGCAGCCAAGGGCCGCCGGGUCUGCCGUGCCGGCGACCAACGCGGCCUCAAGGCCGCCAGCCCCAGCCGAGCCCCACCUCUCCGCCGGCCGAGAGGUGGUGGCGAGACUCCCACAAGAAAAAGGAAAAAGGGGGAAGAAGGAAACAGAAAAAAAAAAAAAAGAAACAUUAAAAUACUUACCUCGGACCACGGCCUUACCUCGCCGUGGUCGGAGCCGGUGAAGACCCCCGGAGGAGGUCCGGCCUCGACCUCGCCUCCCGGCCCUCCCCCUCUUCUCCAG
This 308-nucleotide long non-coding RNA is filed under the name Phoenix dactylifera (date palm). RNAcentral's name for it is "long non-coding RNA (PDAC_LNC000878)". Lineage: Eukaryota; Viridiplantae; Streptophyta; Magnoliopsida; Arecales; Arecaceae. The record is from RNAcentral.